GUCAGGGUAACUCAGUUGGUAGAGCAGAGGAUUGAAAAUCCUCGUGUCACUAGUUCAAAUCUGGUUCCUGGCA
This 73-nucleotide transfer RNA is filed under the name Hordeum vulgare. Its description in RNAcentral is "tRNA-Phe". It matches the Rfam family "tRNA". From Rfam's summary of the family: Transfer RNA (tRNA) molecules are approximately 80 nucleotides in length. Their secondary structure includes four short double-helical elements and three loops (D, anti-codon, and T loops). The record is from RNAcentral. Lineage: Eukaryota; Viridiplantae; Streptophyta; Magnoliopsida; Poales; Poaceae.